Molecule: ribosomal RNA, 406 nt
Filed under: uncultured bacterium
Lineage: Bacteria
Description: partial 16S ribosomal RNA
Rfam family: Bacterial small subunit ribosomal RNA
Source: RNAcentral
GACGAACGCUGGCGGCGUGCCUAAUACAUGCAAGUCGAGCGAGCGGCGGACGGGUGAGUAAUGUCUGGGAAACUGCCUGAUGGAGGGGGAUAACUACUGGAAACGGUAGCUAAUACCGCAUACCCUCAGAUGUGCCCAGAUGGGAUUAGCUAGUAGGUGGGGUAACGGCUCACCUAGGCGACGAUCCCUAGCUGGUCUGAGAGGAUGACCAGCCACACGGGAACUGAGACACGGUCCAGAAUCCAACGGGAGGCAGCAGUGGGGAAAAUUGCACAAGGGGCGCAAGCCUGAUGCAGCCAUGCCGCUGGUGAGAAGAAGGCCUGCGGGUUGUAAAGCACUUUCAGCGGGGAGGCGUUACCCGCAGAAGAAGCACCGGCUAACUCCGUGCCAGCAGCCGCGGUAAUAC